This 498-nucleotide ribosomal RNA is filed under the name uncultured bacterium. RNAcentral describes it as "partial 16S ribosomal RNA". The record is from RNAcentral.
GUAGUUAGCCGGGGCUUUCUAAUGGGGUACCGUCAUUUUCUUCGUCCCCCACAACAGAGGUUUACAAUCCGAAAACCUUCUUCCCUCACGCGGCGUUGCUGGGUCAGGCUUGCGCCCAUUGCCCAAUAUUCCCCACUGCUGCCUCCCGUAGGAGUCUGGACCGUGUCUCAGUUCCAGUGUGGCCGAUCAGCCUCUCAGCUCGGCUACCCAUCGCAGGCUUGGUGGGCUGUUAUCUCACCAACUACCUAAUGGGACGCGAACCCCUCCCUCAGCGGAUUGCUCCUUUGACCUCAUCCCGAUGCCGGGUCGUGGUCUUAUGCGGUAUUAGCACUUGUUUCCAGGUGUUAUCCCCCUCUGAAGGUCAGGUUGUUCACGCGUUACUCACCCGUUCGCCACUAAAAUUUAUCUUCCAUCCGAAAACUUCUGAUAAAUCUCCGUUCGACUUGCAUGUGUUAGGCACGCCGCCAGCGUUCGUCCUGAGCCAGGAUCAAACUCUGA